CACCUAGGGGUGGCAGCAGUAGAGAAUGUUGGCAAUUGGGGGAAACCCUGACGGUGCGACGCCGCGUGGAGGAUGAAGGUUUUCGGAUUGUAAACUCCUGUCUCCACAGAAAAAUACUUACACUUUAAUAAAUUGUAAGUUUGAUGGUAUGAAAGAGGAAGGGACGGCUAACUCUCUGCCAGCAGCCGCGGUAAUACAGAGGUCCCAAGCGUUGUUCGGAAUUACUGGGCGUAAAGGGUGCGUAGGAGGCAUUGUAAGUCAAAUGUGAAAUCUCUCUGCUUAACAGAGAAACUGCAUUCGAUACUACUUUGCUAGAGGAUCGGAGAGGAGAAUGGAAUUCCUGGUGUAGCGGUGAAAUGCGUAGAUAUCAGGAGGAACACCGAUGGCGAAGGCAAUUCUCUGGAAGAUACCUGACUCUGAAGCACGAAGGCUAGGGGAGCAAACAGGAUUAGAUACCCUGGUAGUCCUAGCAGUAAACGUUGUUCACUUGGUGUUGGAGGAUUCGACCCCUCCAGUGCCGUAGCUAACGCGAUA
RNAcentral lists this ribosomal RNA (534 nucleotides) under uncultured bacterium. Its description in RNAcentral is "bacterial SSU rRNA". It matches the Rfam family "Bacterial small subunit ribosomal RNA", at positions 335 to 862 of the family's 1533-position model. The record is from RNAcentral.